Rhododendron vialii is the source of this 547-nucleotide long non-coding RNA. RefSeq lists it as uncharacterized. The record is from RefSeq and is a predicted model, not a curated record. NCBI's taxonomy places the organism in Eukaryota, Viridiplantae, Streptophyta, Magnoliopsida, Ericales, Ericaceae. The transcript is spliced from 2 exons.
GAAGCUAUAUGAUUUUUCCGUUGGCUUGAUUCCUUUCAACGUCUAAUCUUUCAGGCCACACUAUAAUUUGAACCCGGAAAUCAUUUCCGUCAAUGGACAGACAUUAGGCAUAGAUUCAUCAGUUUUUGCCACGUCAAGUAACAAAGGAACCAUUGUCGAUUCUCGAACAACCUUGACAUACGUAGCUGAAGAAGCCUUUGAUCCUUUUGUUAGUGGUGUAAAUCACGAAAGAGCAAUUCAUUAAAUGUUUGUUCGGCGAUCUAUUGUAGCUGCUUGGCUUCGGAUUAGAUGAUAAAACUUCUCGGUGCUUAUAUUCUUGACUACCUUUCUUCAGGUAUCUUUUCUCUUCUUUUGCAUUUUUUCCAGAUUACAUUGUAGUUGGAGAUACAAUUUGGUUUGUGAUUCUAGAUUUUAUUUUCCUGGUGUGGAACAUGUAAUUUGGAAACGCAUUGUUCGUCUAUCUUUUAUUGAUAGUUGUGUCAUCGUCGAAAAUAUUUGUUACGAGAAAUAUUGAAUGCCUCUUCAACUUUUUUCCUUCUUCCUCAAA